GUUUGGUUGUUUGGCAUUUGUUUUCGUCGCCAUUUCGCUUUUUUGCGUGGUCACCGUGUGCGCGUUGUGUGCGUCGUGAGCUGUAAGCAUGCGUGUGCGUUGUGAUCUGCUGUUGCGCGACAAGAGACAUUUUUGCCAAGAGCGUUGGGAGACGAAAAGCUGAAUGUGCCCGUCCGUCCACUGGCUGACGCGGAGGUAUGCCACCGACUGGCCUGCGUGGAAGCGUGCAUGAAGAAUGGAGCGCCGGCUGACCCGACGAAGCUGGCAAGAGAGUGAAGAGGCUACGAAAAAUCCUCAACAUCGAGAGCAAGCCAGAAGAACCAGUAAUUGCUUGCACACAGGUUGGCAUUGGUGGCCGGACGCUGAUUGAUAAGAACAUCCUCGAUCAGCUGAGCCAGGCCUGUGACUGUACCAGUGGCCGUGGAAAAUUCGUCAGGGCACUUUUGCACCACGUCUUUACUGAUGGUGGGCUCCACAGCAAGCCGCUGCUUGGGGGAAGAGCUGCCUACGUGGCGAGACGGUUCAAGAGGAGGCGCUCAACACUGUAUGCAUGGAGACCGAUAGGAUACACCUGCUCAGUUUCUGGGAGCCAGUGUUCCGUACAUCAAGAAGAGCCUAUCCUUGCUUCUUUCGUGAUAAAUAAAAUGAAGUAAGACCAUG
Dermacentor albipictus is the source of this 660-nucleotide non-coding RNA. The record is from RefSeq and is a predicted model, not a curated record. Lineage: Eukaryota; Metazoa; Arthropoda; Arachnida; Ixodida; Ixodidae.